AUUAGCUCAAUGGUAGAGCAACUGACUCUUAAUCAGUGGGUUCGGGGUUCGAGUCCCUGAU
RNAcentral lists this transfer RNA (61 nucleotides) under uncultured Dietzia sp. It matches the Rfam family "tRNA", at positions 6 to 65 of the family's 71-position model. Rfam says of the family: Transfer RNA (tRNA) molecules are approximately 80 nucleotides in length. The record is from RNAcentral. Lineage: Bacteria; Bacillati; Actinomycetota; Actinomycetes; Mycobacteriales; Dietziaceae.